This 27-nucleotide non-coding RNA is filed under the name Drosophila melanogaster (fruit fly). The record is from RNAcentral. Lineage: Eukaryota; Metazoa; Arthropoda; Insecta; Diptera; Drosophilidae.
GAUUUUUGACUGGGUUCGCGAAAUACC